RNAcentral lists this ribosomal RNA (427 nucleotides) under uncultured bacterium. RNAcentral describes it as "bacterial SSU rRNA". It matches the Rfam family "Bacterial small subunit ribosomal RNA", at positions 355 to 774 of the family's 1533-position model. The record is from RNAcentral.
UGGGGAAUUUUGGACAAUGGGCGCAAGCCUGAUCCAGCAAUGCCGCGUGCAGGAUGAAGGCCUUCGGGUUGUAAACCGCUUUUGUCAGGGAAGAAAUCCUUUGAGCUAAUACCUCGGGGGGAUGACGGUACCUGAAGAAUAAGCACCGGCUAACUACGUGCCAGCAGCCGCGGUAAUACGUAGGGUGCGAGCGUUAAUCGGAAUUACUGGGCGUAAAGCGUGCGCAGGCGGUUUUGUAAGACAGAGGUGAAAUCCCCGGGCUCAACCUGGGAAUUGCCUUUGUGACUGCAAGGCUUGAGUGCGGCAGAGGGGGAUGGAAUUCCGCGUGUAGCAGUGAAAUGCGUAGAUAUGCGGAGGAACACCGAUGGCGAAGGCAAUCCCCUGGGCCUGUACUGACGCUCAUGCACGAAAGCGUGGGGAGCAAACA